AUACGGAGGGUGCAAGCGUUAAUCGGAAUUACUGGGCGUAAAGCGUACGUAGGCGGUUUAUUAAGUCAGAUGUGAAAGCCCCGGGCUUAACCUGGGAACUGCAUUUGAAACUAGUAGACUAGAGUAUGGUAGAGGGGGGUAGAAUUCCUAGUGUAGCGGUGAAAUGCGUAGAUAUUAGGAGGAAUACCAGUGGCGAAGGCGGCCCCCUGGACCAAUACUGACGCUGAGGUACAAAAGCGUGGGGAGCGAACAGGAUUAGAUACCCCAGUAGUCC
This 274-nucleotide ribosomal RNA is filed under the name uncultured bacterium. RNAcentral's name for it is "partial 16S ribosomal RNA". It matches the Rfam family "Bacterial small subunit ribosomal RNA", at positions 523 to 796 of the family's 1533-position model. The record is from RNAcentral.